RNAcentral lists this ribosomal RNA (1856 nucleotides) under human gut metagenome. Its description in RNAcentral is "bacterial LSU rRNA". It matches the Rfam family "Bacterial large subunit ribosomal RNA", at positions 1044 to 2925 of the family's 2925-position model. The record is from RNAcentral.
GGCUCGGAGAUGUGUAUAAGAGACAGAAAACGAUGUGAUUUUGCGUAAACAACCAGGAUGUUGGCUUAGAAGCAGCCAUUCAUUCAAAGAGUGCGUAAUAGCUCACUGGUCGAGUGAUUGUGCGCCGAAAAUGUAACGGGGCUAAACUUGACACCGAAGUCUAGGCAGAAGGAAACUUCUGGGUAGGGGAGCAACGUGUACGGGCAGAAGCAGAAGCGGAAGCGACUGUGGACUGUACAGGAGAGAGAAUGCCGGCAUGAGUAGCGAGAGCAAAGUGAGAAUCUUUGCCGUCGAAAGCCUAAGGUUUCCUGAGGAAGGCUCGUCCUCUCAGGGUAAGUCGGGACCUAAGCCGAGGACAAUAGUCGUAGGCGAUGGACAAUCGGUUAAUAUUCCGAUACCGCCGAGCAACCGGAUGCAGUGACACAGAAGGAUAGGCAGAGCGUGGCGAUGGUAGACCACGUCCAAGCAGUGAGGCUGUUGUGUAGUGAAGUACGCACAACGGAAGGCUGGGCUGUGAUGGGGAACGAUUACGAUCGGUAAGCUGCUGAAUUCACGCUGGCGAGAAAAGCUGCUACGAAGCGAAGGCGCCCGUACCGCAAACCGACACAGGUAGGCGAGGAGAGAAUCCUAAGACGAGCGGGAGAACCCUUGUUAAGGAACUCGGCAAAAUGACUCCGUAACUUAGGGAGAAGGAGUGCCCAGGAAUGGGCCGCAGAGAAUAGACCCAAGCGACUGUUUACCAAAAACACAGGUCUGUGCGAAGUAGAGAUACGACGUAUACGGGCUGACACCUGCCCAGUGCCGGAAGGUUAAGGGGAAAUGUUAGGGCAACCGAAGCAUGGAACUUAAGCCCCGGUGAACGGCGGCCGUAACUAUAACGGUCCUAAGGUAGCGAAAUUCCUUGUCGGGUAAGUUCCGACCCGCACGAAUGGUGUAACGAUUUGGGUACUGUCUCAACAAGGGACCCGGCGAAAUUGUAGUAUGUGUGAAGAUGCACAUUACCCGCGAUAGGACGGAAAGACCCCGUAGAGCUUUACUGUAGUUUAACAUUGGAUUCCGGUAACAUAUGCACAGGAUAGGUGGGAGGCGGAGAAGCAGUGAUUUCGGUUGCUGCAGAGCCGACGUUGGGAUACCACUCUUGUGUUACUGGGGUUCUAACCUGUGGCCGUGAUCCGGCACAGGAACAGUGUUAGAUGGGCAGUUUGACUGGGGCGGUCGCCUCCAAAAGAGUAACGGAGGCGUCCAAAGGUUCCCUCAGAAUGGUUGGAAACCAUUCGAAGAGUACAAAGGCAGAAGGGAGCCUGACUGCGAGACCGACAGGUCGAGCAGGGACGAAAGUCGGGCUUAGUGAUCCGGCGGUAUAGAGUGGAAUUGCCGUCGCUCAACGGAUAAAAGCUACCUCGGGGAUAACAGGCUUAUCUCCCCCAAGAGUCCACAUCGACGGGGAGGUUUGGCACCUCGAUGUCGGCUCGUCGCAUCCUGGGGCUGGAUUAGGUCCCAAGGGUUUGGCUGUUCGCCAAUUAAAGCGGCACGCGAGCUGGGUUCAGAACGUCGUGAGACAGUUCGGUCCCUAUCUGUUGCGGGCGUAAGAGAUUUGAAGGGAGCUGUCCUUAGUACGAGAGGACCGGGAUGGACUGACCGCUGGUGUACCAGUUGUUCUGCCAAGAGCAUAGCUGGGUAGCUACGUCGGGACGAGAUAAACGCUGAAGGCAUCUAAGCGUGAAACUCCCCCUAAGAUAAGAUCUCUCAUCCUUUAUGGAGUAAGGCUCGUCGUAGACUAUGACGUUGAUAGGUCAGAGGUGGAAGCGCCGUAAGGUGUGUAGCUGACUGAUACUAAUAAGCCGAGGGCUUGACCU